This is a small nuclear RNA of Cannabis sativa, 154 nucleotides long. RefSeq annotates it as U12 minor spliceosomal RNA. The transcript has a single exon. The record is from RefSeq and is a predicted model, not a curated record. NCBI's taxonomy places the organism in Eukaryota, Viridiplantae, Streptophyta, Magnoliopsida, Rosales, Cannabaceae.
AUGCCUUAAACUAAUGAGUAAGGAAAACAAAGCGAGCGGUGGGAGCUGCUCGCCGCGCCUAUCACAUUUUGUGCGCAGUAAUUUGUGGAGGGGUUAUAGGCUGGCCAAGUGUUGACGCUGCUUACUUUGCAGAACUCACUUGUGCGGGCCUCCC